AUUGAACGCUGGCGGCAGGCUUAACACAUGCAAGUCGAGCGAGCGGCGGACGGGUGAGUAAUGUCUGGGAAACUGCCUGAUGGAGGGGGAUAACUACUGGAAACGGUAGCUAAUACCGCAUACCAUCAGAUGUGCCCAGAUGGGAUUAGCUAGUAGGUGGGGUAACGGCUCACCUAGGCGACGAUCCCUAGCUGGUCUGAGAGGAUGACCAGCCACACUGGAACUGAGACACGGUCCAGACUCCUACGGGAGGCAGCAGUGGGGAAUAUUGGACAAUGGGCGAAAGUCUGACCGAGCCAUGCCGCGUGAGUGAAGAAGGUCUUCGGGUUGUAAAGCACUUUCAGUGGGGAGGCGUUACUCGCAGAAGAAGCAACGGCUAACUCCGUGCCAGCAGCCGCGGUAAUUC
This 406-nucleotide ribosomal RNA is filed under the name uncultured bacterium. RNAcentral's name for it is "partial 16S ribosomal RNA". It matches the Rfam family "Bacterial small subunit ribosomal RNA", at positions 30 to 526 of the family's 1533-position model. The record is from RNAcentral.